GGACCCGCACAAGCGGUGGAGCAUGUGGUUUAAUUCGAAGCAACGCGAAGAACCUUACCAAGUCUUGACAUCCCAAUGACGUAGGAGUAACGUCCUAUUCCCUUCGGGGCAUUGGAGACAGGUGGUGCAUGGUUGUCGUCAGCUCGUGUCGUGAGAUGUUGGGUUAAGUCCCGCAACGAGCGCAACCCUUAUCUUUAGUAGCCAGCAGUAAGAUGGGAACUCUAGAGAGACUGCCGGGGAUAACCCGGAGGAAGGUGGGGAUGACGUCAAAUCAUCAUGCCCCUUAUGAUUUGGGCUACACACGUGCUACAAUGGCGUGAACAGAGGGAAGCGAAGGGGUGACCUGAAGCAAAUCCCAAAAAACACGUCUCAGUUCGGAUUGUAGUCUGCAACUCGACUACAUGAAGCUGGAAUCGCUAGUAAUCGCGAAUCAGAAUGUCGCGGUGAAUACGUUCCCGGGUCUU
RNAcentral lists this ribosomal RNA (464 nucleotides) under uncultured bacterium. RNAcentral describes it as "bacterial SSU rRNA". It matches the Rfam family "Bacterial small subunit ribosomal RNA", at positions 917 to 1382 of the family's 1533-position model. The record is from RNAcentral.